RNAcentral lists this long non-coding RNA (690 nucleotides) under Olea europaea (common olive). RNAcentral's name for it is "long non-coding RNA (OEUR_LNC012410)". The record is from RNAcentral. Lineage: Eukaryota; Viridiplantae; Streptophyta; Magnoliopsida; Lamiales; Oleaceae.
CAUUUAGACUUAAGAAAAUAUUAAGUUGGCCCAAAAUUCAUCUUCCCUUCCCUUGCGUUUCAAGCUUCUGGAGUCUGCAAGUCUGCACCAAUGGCAAGUUGGGCUGCAUCCAACCUUGAUCCGCCGAAAAUCCCAGUGCGAGCACUGUCGAAAAUCCUAGUGCGAGCAAUAGCUGCUAGAAAUCCCUGUCUGCUGCCAUUUCAUAAUCCGCCCUCCCAAUAACAUUUCUCAAACCAGUUCCGACUGACUGGUUGAAAGACCCCCUUCGACUUUUGGCCUGAGGCGCAGGCCUCAUCCGCCUAGUCUCAGGACCAGCUCUGCUUUGAAGCCAUCAAGAAUCAAAAUAAACUUAAAAAUCAAAAAAGGGGGGCCUAUGACAAAAGCCCACUAAUUCAAAAUAAUAAAUAAAUAAAUAAAAAUGAAGAAGAAGAAGAAGAAGAAGGCCCAAACUUUCAUCUCCUUCACCUUCUUUGCUGGCUGCUUUCACAGGUCACAGUGUGCACUCUGUUAAUGCUACCGCCUACCAAGGAUGAAAUUCAAUGGUUCCAACAGAGCCAACACUGGCAGUCACGCGCAGCUCACCAAGCACUGGCUCCUUCCCUAUUUCCAUUAUUUGUUCAAUCAUACUUUUAAUGUAUUUUACAACUUGAUUUACAAUGUAUGACUUGACAAACAUCACAUCUUCUAUUU